CGAUGGGAUAGAGGCUGCAGUUUAUAAGAGUAAAACGGACGAGAUUCAAUGAAAUUCACGACUCCGUUUGAAAGGAUAAGUUGCCGAAGUUUGGAUAAAUCAUUGAAUAUCCGGACUGGCGAUGUUUUCGAAUAGGAACAUCACUGUCACGUUUAUUAACGUGGAGAGCUAUCUUCGGA
This 179-nucleotide non-coding RNA is filed under the name Bacillus sp. (in: firmicutes). Its description in RNAcentral is "Bacillus sp. Lysine sequence". It matches the Rfam family "Lysine riboswitch aptamer". Rfam says of the family: Riboswitches are metabolite binding domains within certain messenger RNAs that serve as precision sensors for their corresponding targets. Allosteric rearrangement of mRNA structure is mediated by ligand binding, and this results in modulation of gene expression. RNAcentral also lists the same sequence under 1 other name. Lineage: Bacteria; Bacillati; Bacillota; Bacilli; Caryophanales; Bacillaceae. The record is from RNAcentral.